GCAAUGGAUCUUCUUCCCAUUCUUACUGCAUGAUGAUAUUUAUGCUCUUCAUCUUCUGUUAUGCGCUGCGCAACCAAACCAUAUUGGUUUCUACUUAUUCUUCUUUUAAUUUUUUAUGCUCCAACAGGAUAAUAGACAUCUCUCUUUAAUUUUAGUAAGCAUAAAUGAUUUGAUGUUCACAUGCUAUUUUUAGUUGUACAACCUACUAAUUAAUUAGAUAUUUGCUACUUACGAUUAUUUGAUGGAUUGAAUAGAACUUGUUGUGGACUUACCAUAUUGCGGUUCAUAUUUGACUUACGUGGCUUUAAUUGCAUAUUUGCCUUAUAUGGCUUGGAACGUAUAUUUGACCUACGCAUCUUUGAGCACAUGUCUGCCUUACAUGGCUUGGGUCGCAUAUUUGCCCUACACGGCUUGGGUCGCAUAUUUGCCUUCCCAACUUUGAUAGAAUAUUGGUGCCCUCUGUGGCUUUGUUAGUUGUAUUCGCAUAAUUGUUGAUUUUCGGGUCAUUAUGCAGAGUUCGUUAUGAUUUACGGGUAGAUCUGAAGUUCUUUUAUCGAUUUUCUUACCAUCUUGCGGAGUUCAUAUGUUUUCCGAAUGAUGCCGGAGUUCCUAUGUUGAUUCUCUCUUCAUCUAGCAAUGUUCAGUCGUAUUACGAUUUUCAGGUGGAGCUGAAGUUUGGUUAUCAAUUUUCUAGCCAUCUUGCGAUGUUCACAUACGAUAUGAUUUUUCGGUGAAGUAGAGGUCUGAAUGUUGAUUUUCUAGCCAUCAUGCAGUGUUUAGUCGUAUUGUAAUUUUCGGGUGGAGCUGAAGUUUGCUUAUCGAUAUUCUAGUCUUCUUGUGGUAUUCACGUACGAUAUGAUUUUCAGGUGGUUUAGAGAUUUGAAUGUUGAUUUUCUAUUCAUCUUGUUUUUCGAAUGACACCAAAGUUCCUAGGUUGAUUCUUUUCAUCUGGUGGUGUUCAGUCUUACUGUGAUUUCUGGAUGGAGCUAAAGUUCGUUUAUCAAUUUUCUAACAAUCUUGCAGUGUUCACAUACGAUAUGAUUUACGGGUGAAAUAAAGGUUUGAAUGUUGAUUUUCUAACCAUCUUGCAGUGUUCAGUCGUAUUAUGAUUUUCGGGUGGAGCUGAAGUCCACUUAUCAAUUUUUUAGCCAUCUUACGGUGUUUACAUAAGAUAUCAUUUUCAGGUGGUCUAUAGAUUUGAAUGUUGAUUUUUUAUUAAUCUUGUGGAGUUCAGUUGUAUUGUGAUUUUUGGAUCGUGGUAAAGUUCGCUUAUCAAUUUUCUAGCCAUCUUGGGAUGUUCACGUACGAUAUAAUUUUCGGGUGUAGAGUGAGUCGAUGUUGUUCACUUGGUUGCUGGAGUAGAACGGGUAGCUGAUGAGCUAGACGGGGUCUCUAUGGCCCCAUAUUGAGCUUCACCAUUAGAUGAUAGAUUUCUGUUUAUGUUUAAUCAACUUUUGUUAUUUGAGUUGUAUAAGUCCUAUACGGGCACUUCUACAUUUGAAUUCUUAUGGUGAUUGGAAUGUUUUUAUUCAAUGCAUGGUUUACUCUGCCAA
This is a long non-coding RNA of Magnolia sinica, 1553 nucleotides long. RefSeq lists it as uncharacterized. The transcript has 2 exons. Lineage: Eukaryota; Viridiplantae; Streptophyta; Magnoliopsida; Magnoliales; Magnoliaceae. The record is from RefSeq and is a predicted model, not a curated record.